AUCUGGCCCACAACCUUAUUUCCCCUUCCUUUCCCUUAUAUCCACCAACCUUACAGCUGCAAGCAACUCCAAACACACCCAUUUUCAACUCAACCACGGUAAAAUCCAGAACGAAAAGUCAACAACGGUAGAUCAUCUCCAACGGGCUAAUCCGGAUUUCGCUCAAUAUCGUUCGAUCAGAUUCAACGCGGAGGGUCAAGAUUAAUUCUAGUUUGAAUUUCAAAUCCUUCAUCCUAAAUUUCUUAUGGGUUUCCCCCCAAAUACUAUGCCGAAAAUCUGCUAUAAAUAUCCAUUGAGGGAUAGACGGUAAAGGGGGAUUUGGGAAAAAAAAAAAAAAAAAAACUUGAAGGUUCGGGAGGGCUUCUAACCUCACGCAACCAAAAAAUUCUCAAAAAUUGAGUACCGACGAAAUCAAGUGUAGUUCCAGUGGUGAAAGCUUGUCGUGAUAGGCUCAUCGUCCUAGUUCCUGGUGGUUAAAUGCUUGAGUCGUGCAAAACCAAAUUUUAGGUAUGUUAAAGCAGUAGUUGUGAAUUUGGGGAGGUUUUAUUUCUCGUGGUGGUUAAAUGCUUGAGUCGUGCAAAACCAAAUUUUAGCCGACGCCAUCGCCCUUGCAUUCCCUCGGAAUCAAAAACCAUCUUUAUUCGAGUCAAAAAUUUUCGUCAAAUCUGCCUAGGGACUGGUAUACAUUUGUAUACAGCAGAUAUACAAAACGCAACAGCAACAGCAACAGGGCUGAUAUACAGUAAAUAUACACCAGAUAUACAAAAACGCAGCAGCAACAGGACUGAUAUACAGUCAGUAUACAACUGAUAUACACUUCCGAAAAUGGACUGAAGUCCAUAAUUCAAGCCCAAAACUGGGCAGCUUCAUUAAUGGGCCAAUUGAGGGCCCAAUUUUAAUUCUUGCGUCAUUUUUGUAACUUGUAUUGUUUAUUUGUGUGAAUUAACAUAUUCAAUUAAUUAAUCUAGAUAAAUCUCCUAA
This is a long non-coding RNA of Capsicum annuum, 981 nucleotides long. RefSeq lists it as uncharacterized. The transcript has 2 exons. Lineage: Eukaryota; Viridiplantae; Streptophyta; Magnoliopsida; Solanales; Solanaceae. The record is from RefSeq and is a predicted model, not a curated record.